UUCUGCUUUUGUUUGUUCUUCACAUGUUUUGUUUUACUUUAACUUCAAUGUGUAACAGUUCACAUAUGCAUGUCUGCCUGUCGAUCUACGCUUCUUCAGUCUGUAGUCUACCAACGUUCUCAACUAGAGUUACUCUUUUAAAGCCUUUCCCUAUUUUAUUGUAAGGAUCUGUUACCUCAAAUAACAAUCGCAAAGCACAUUGAAUAUUUACAAUACACAUGACACUGUUACAUUUCAUGAGAGGUGUUUGUUGUUAUUCUGUUGUUAUGUAGUAUGGUAAUAUCUAUUCAUGUAUUUCUCUGUCCUGAGUGUUCUUGCGUUUAUUUUUAAUGUAUCCUUUUAACGAAAUGUUAUCAUUCUUGCUGGUUUUUUUUUUACAUUUCCAUAUAUAGGCGAAAAUUUUUGCUAGCUAUAAAACCAGGUUCAACUCACCAUUUUUUUCCAUAAAAUGACCUGUGCCAAGUCAUGAAUAUGGCAGUUAUCUAGUUGUCCGUUUCUAUGUAUGUUUGCGUUUGUUUUUCUUGCAGUUCAGUGUUUCUAUUGUCCUCUUGUUUUUCUGUUAUAGUUGAAUUGUUUCCCUCGGUUUUAGUUGGGAUCGAUUUAUAGGUACUAGUAUUAAACAGCGGUAUAAGGAAUCAAAUGACAAAAUCAAAAGAUAAAACACAUCAAACAAAUGGACAACAACUGUCAUAUUCCUGACUUGGUACAUGCAUUUUCAAAUGUAGAAAAUGGUGGAUUGAACCUGGUUUUAUAGCGCUAAAUCU
RNAcentral lists this long non-coding RNA (764 nucleotides) under Mytilus galloprovincialis (Mediterranean mussel). Lineage: Eukaryota; Metazoa; Mollusca; Bivalvia; Mytilida; Mytilidae. The record is from RNAcentral.